RNAcentral lists this ribosomal RNA (253 nucleotides) under uncultured bacterium. RNAcentral describes it as "partial 16S ribosomal RNA". It matches the Rfam family "Bacterial small subunit ribosomal RNA", at positions 524 to 776 of the family's 1533-position model. The record is from RNAcentral.
UACAGAGGUGGCAAGCGUUGUUCGGAAUUACUGGGCGUAAAGGGCGCGUAGGUGGCCUUCUUAGUCAGACGUGAAAUCCCCGGGCUUAACUCGGGAACUGCGUCUGAUACUGGAAGGCUGGAGUUCGGGAGAGGAAUGUGGAAUUCCAGGUGUAGCGGUGAAAUGCGUAGAUAUCUGGAGGAACACCGGUGGCGAAGGCGGCAUCCUGGACCGGCAUUGACGCUGAGGAGCGAAAGCCAGGGGAGUAAACGGG